CAAAAGGAGAAUGCGCAGAUCCGGAAAUGAGUUCCCUCCGAUCCCCUUCAUCGACUACCGGUAUUCCCACGGCAUGUAGCACACUGUUUCAACAUACUAUGUAACAAGAAAGUGUCAAAACUGUUUUCUACUGAAGAGGACCACAGUCAGAUGAGUUCAGCUUCAGUGAUGUACCUGUUGGCUUUUAUCGCAAUGUGUCUGGGUGCAGCAUCGGCUAAUCUCAGUGACGAUGUGUCUCUUGUGGUCACCACGGCCAGCGGUAAGGUGCGAGGAACGGUACAGUACACAAACGACCUGCCGGACAAACCUGUCUACACCUUCAAGGGCAUCCCGUACGCAGCGCCCCCUGUCGGAGACCUGCGGUUCCGCGCCCCUCAGCCUGCUGCUCCAUGGGAAGGAGUGAUGGAUGCUACUGAACUGGGCCCCUACUGUCCUCAGGACGAGGCAAUAUUGAAAGGGUUUCCCGUUCACUAUCAUCGCGCCACUUUUCACGAAGACUGUCUAACCUUAAACAUCGAAACGCCGUCACUUCGAAACGACGUAAUUCUGCCGGUUCUGUUGUGGAUCCAUGGGGGUGGCCUGAUCGCGGGUGCAGGCGGGAUGUGGCCCUACGCGUCACUGGCCGCUCAUCAGGACGUGGUGGUCGUGACCAUCAACUACCGCCUCGGGCCGCUGGGCUUCCUCAGCACUGGGGAUGAGAACGCUCCUGGGAACUUCGGCCUCCUGGACCAGGUCCAGGCUAUGCGAUGGAUCAAAGAAAACAUCAGAAACUUCGGAGGAGAUCUGGACCGGGUUACGAUCUUUGGCGAGUCAGCUGGUGGAGCAAGUGUCUGUUACCACGUGGUGUCUCCUCUCAGCAAGGGUCUGUUCCAUCACGCAAUAUCCCAGAGCGGGGUCUGUCAGACCCUUGAUAUCAAUCCGAAGCCACUGGAGAGAGCGGCGAUGUUUGCAGAAGACCUCGGCUGUGACACCGAAGAUACAACAAGCAUGGUGACCUGCCUCAGACAGAAGUCGUCUGAUGAUCUACUUGCCAGUCAUGGACGCCUGCAGAUGGACCUCAUGUCUCAGGGGGUGCUCUUCCCGUUUCUACCCGUGGUUGACGGGACGUACCUGCCAAGUCAUCCCAAGGAUCGUCUCGAAAAGGGCGAAGUAAACGUGGCACAAUACCUUCUAGGCGCCAAUGAUGACGAGUACGGAUUUCAGAUUCCUUUGGCGACAAUUCCAAACUUCGGGAAUGGAAUGUCAGAAGAGGAAUUUAUCUACCUUUUAGAAAUGCUUGUGAAGAAGCUUUAUCCUACUUCCAAGCAGGGCGACAUCAUCGCUGCCCUUCGUGAAGUGUACAGUUACCAUGACAACGCUGAUGAUCCAAUGGCCAUACAGAAGCAGUUCACACAGGUGUAUGGAGACCAGUUUUUGGUCGCUCCUACUGUUUUUGUUGCGGAGAAAUAUGCAGGCCAUGGCCAAGUCUACCUCUACGAGAACCGGUACGUCUCAUCUGUGGCAUCUGCUGGCCGGCCGGACUGGGUUGGAUGUGACCACACUGACGAACUCCCGAUCAUUUCCGGCCUGGCCUUUCUAGACCUGCCUGUGUCUGACGAUAAUCAGCGUCCAUAUGCAUUUUCCGACGAAGAUAAGAAGACAAGUCUGGACAUGAUGGCGUAUUGGGCCAACUUUGCACGAACUGGGAACCCGUCAGACCGUACCAGUGGCCCAGCUGACAGCCCCACGGUACCAGAGUGGCCCCAGUACACACCUGACAACCCCGCCUACAUGAAGCUGGACCUGACGUCUUCUAGUGACAUAGGUCUUAAGCCUAAAAGGAUGAAACUGUGGAAUGACGUCAUCCCCAAGCUUGCAGCAUCAUCAAGGAAGGAAGAGCUAUAAUAGUUAUCUAACGUUAAUAUUUUUUUUUUUUCAGAACAGGUCUAUUGUCUAUUGUAUGUAAUAACAUUAAGCAUCAGGAAACACAAAACAGUAGACUACAACAGGUUUAAGCAUAUAAAUAUGUGCAGCAGUAUCUCUUAACUUUUAGCAUGUGGAAUAACGCAUUUGAAAUGAAUUAAUAGUUAACAUAUUGAAGGGAAUCAAGGGUCAAUUGGUAUUGAAAGUUACAUGGCAACAUAGAUUUGCAAACUAAGUUACAGAAAUAAACUCAAGAAUCACGGUUACCAAACCCACACAAGUAAUAAUUGAUCGAGUUCAUGAUCAGAUGCAAAUAUGCCUAUUUGAAGAGUCACUAUAUCUUUGUUUUGUGUGUAGCGCGACAUGAAUAUUGUGGCCAUAGUCACAUAGAUAUCUAUCUACGUUGAUUCGUCACACCUUUGAGCAAUGAUGCCUAGUGUGGUCGCCAAUAAAGAGAUUUACCCAAGCUUCACUUCGUCCAGGUUACUCGACCCCCUCGUCACAUAGCGGGAUAACCUAUGAACUGGUGACCUAUUGACCCCGCUGUUCAUUCAUUCAUCGGCUGCCCACGGCAUUUAGCACAUGGUUCAACCUAACACGUUUUAAACAGGAGAGUCUCAAAACGGUUUUGUACUGAAGAGGACCACAGUCAUAUGAAUGCAGUGAUGUACCUGUUGACUUUAAUGGCGAUGUGCCUGGGUGCCGUAUCGUCUAAUGUCAGUGACGAUAUUUCCCCUGUGGUCACCACGGCCAGCGGCAAGGUGCGAGGAACGGUGCAGUACACAAACGACCUGCCGGACAAACCUGUCUACACCUUCAAGGGCAUCCCGUACGCAGCGCCCCCUGUCGGAGACCUGCG
RNA transcript from Branchiostoma floridae (Florida lancelet), 2761 nucleotides. It is a transcript of the gene named carboxylesterase 1D-like, with no coding region annotated. Lineage: Eukaryota; Metazoa; Chordata; Leptocardii; Amphioxiformes; Branchiostomatidae. The transcript has 8 exons. The record is from RefSeq and is a predicted model, not a curated record.